UGAGGAAUAUUGGUCAAUGGACGGAAGUCUGAACCAGCCAAGUAGCGUGCAGGAUGACGGCCCUAUGGGUUGUAAACUGCUUUUGUAUGGGGAUAAAGUUAGGGACGUGUCCCUAUUUGCAGGUACCAUACGAAUAAGGACCGGCUAAUUCCGUGCCAGCAGCCGCGGUAAUACGGAAGGUCCAGGCGUUAUCCGGAUUUAUUGGGUUUAAAGGGAGCGUAGGCUGGAUAUUAAGUGUGUUGUGAAAUGUAGACGCUCAACGUCUGACUUGCAGCGCAUACUGGUUUCCUUGAGUACGCACAACGUUGGCGGAAUUCGUCGUGUAGCGGUGAAAUGCUUAGAUAUGACGAAGAAAUCCGAUUGCGAAGGCAGCUGACGGGAGCGCAACUGACGCUUAAGCUCGAAGGUGCGGGUAUCAAACAGG
Molecule: ribosomal RNA, 424 nt
Filed under: bacterium
Lineage: Bacteria
Description: partial 16S ribosomal RNA
Rfam family: Bacterial small subunit ribosomal RNA
Source: RNAcentral